Molecule: long non-coding RNA, 635 nt
Filed under: Rattus norvegicus (Norway rat)
Lineage: Eukaryota; Metazoa; Chordata; Mammalia; Rodentia; Muridae
Description: long non-coding RNA NONRATT017728
Source: RNAcentral
AGGUCAUGGCGGGCAAUCUGAAGGUCAGUAUGGCUGCAAGGUCAUGGCGGGCGGUUUGGAGAACUGUAUGACUUCUCCUUACUUUGAGAGAUCUUGGGCUUCCCAGUCUUGUCUUCCUUCCUCUUACCAGUUCCAAGCUAGUGAGCAGCUUCCAGCUCUAAGGACUCAGGGCUGCUGAAGCCUUGUCCUCUCUCCAAGUACAAUGUGCCCGGCGAGGGCGGGACUCGGGUGACGCAGAGCCUCAUGGGAAACCACUUCUGCAGUUCCGUGCUGCAGACAGGAGAACGAGCCGUGAUCCUACGCUCACCGCUGUUACAUCUUCGUUGUAAGGAGAGAGUCCGCUGUUUUCAAUCCAGGAUCCUUGAAACAUUUGGAACGGAAGGAGCCUUUCUGACUUCCAGCUGCGAAGAGUCACAGAGAGCAGCAGUUCUGGUCCGGUCCCAUGCACGCAUCUUCUGCAGCAAGCAUUCAGGCAGUUGCUCAAAUGCAGAUCUGGAUGCGGCUCCUGCGGGGAAAGCGAGCUCCUCGAGCAUUCCAUAUUUGGUUGUAUGUCAUCUGGAACAGAAAUGCGCUUUCCUGGGUCCGCUGCCCACAGGCCCCAGUUCUGCUUUCUACAGAUAAACAGAAGUAACCUG